This is a non-coding RNA of Kogia breviceps (pygmy sperm whale), 686 nucleotides long. The record is from RefSeq and is a predicted model, not a curated record. Lineage: Eukaryota; Metazoa; Chordata; Mammalia; Artiodactyla; Physeteridae.
CAGACUGUUGAGUGUCCAAGAGAUGCCUCCUUGGUGCCUGGGACAGUGUCUGAUACAAGAAUGAGGUCAGAAUGGAAGUAAAUUUGUUGCGGGAAGACCCCUUCCAGGGCCUGAGAGUGGACUCUUGUCGAACACUCGGAAAUGAAUUGCCCAAGGAGACACACGUGCUGACAAAGCAGGAGACUUUAUUGGGAAGGGGCGCCUGGGCGGAGAGCAGGAAGGACAUCCACUCAUCCGCUGAGAAUUGAAGAACGGCUUGAUGUUGGGAAACAUGCCAGGAGCCCCAGCGUGGGUUUAAACUGGCUCACUCUGCUGUGUGCAGGGUGAAGGGGGGUUGGGAGGAGUCAGGAGGACCAGGCAGGAGGCGCGUCCUGGAGCAGGACUUAAACCCCAACAAAUGGAAGAUGUUAACUACCUGAUGAAGCAUUCUUCAUUCCAGAGAGAAGGUCACAGUUUGAUAAACUCAAGAACCACAGAAACACAUCAGGAGACCACCUGAGGCCAGGUUAAAGGAGUGCAGGCCCUGCACACACCCUGUUCUUUAUCAGCAACCCCUCCCCUGAACCAUUGCUAUAAAACUCAUCAAAUCCCCCUAGGCUUGGGACACACAGAAGGCAUGAGCCCGCCGUGUCCCCCCCCCUUUGCCCGGCAAGGCUGUAAAGCUAUUCUUUUCUACUUCACCUGAA